This 254-nucleotide ribosomal RNA is filed under the name uncultured bacterium. Its description in RNAcentral is "partial 16S ribosomal RNA". It matches the Rfam family "Bacterial small subunit ribosomal RNA", at positions 524 to 776 of the family's 1533-position model. The record is from RNAcentral.
GACGAACCGUGCGAACGUUGUUCGGAAUCACUGGGCUUAAAGGGCGCGUAGGCGGGCUGACAAGUCUGGGGUGAAAUCCCAGGGCUCAACCCUGGAACUGCCUUCGAUACUGGCGAUCUUCGAGUCCGGGAGAGGUGAGUGGAACUCCGAGUGUAGAGGUGAAAUUCGUAGAUAUUCGGAAGAACACCAGUGGCGAAGGCGGCUCACUGGCCCGGUACUGACGCUGAGGUGCGAAAGCGUGGGGAGCAAACAGG